This 253-nucleotide ribosomal RNA is filed under the name uncultured bacterium. RNAcentral describes it as "partial 16S ribosomal RNA". It matches the Rfam family "Bacterial small subunit ribosomal RNA", at positions 524 to 776 of the family's 1533-position model. The record is from RNAcentral.
UACGUAGGGGGCAAGCGUUGUCCGGAAUUACUGGGCGUAAAGGGCGCGUAGGCGGACAGUUUAGUCAGAGGUGAAAGCCCAGGGCUCAACCUUGGAAUUGCCUUUGAUACUGGCUGUCUUGAGUUCGGGAGAGGUGAGUGGAACGCCGAGUGUAGAGGUGAAAUUCGUAGAUAUUCGGCGGAACACCAGUGGCGAAGGCGACUCACUGGCCCGAUACUGACGCUGAGGCGCGAAAGCGUGGGGAGCAAACAGG